AAUCAACGCUGGCGGCGUGCCUCAGACAUGCAAGUCGAACGCGAAAGUCCCCUUCGGGGGAGUGAUUAGAGUGGCGCACGGGCGAGUAACACGUAGGUAAUCUACCUUCGAGUGGGGAAUAAACUCAGGGAAACUUGAGCUAAUACCGCAUAAUGCAGCGGCACCACAUGGUGACAGUUGUUAAAGCAUUUAUGCGCUUGAAGAGGAGCCUGCGGCGGAUAGCUAGUUGGUAAGGUAAUGGCUUACCAAGGCUACGAUCUGUAACCGGCCUGAGAGGGCGGACGGUCACACUGACACUGAAUAACGGGUCAGACUCCUACGGGAGGCAGCAGUCGGGAAUUUUGGGCAAUGGGC
This 354-nucleotide ribosomal RNA is filed under the name uncultured bacterium. RNAcentral's name for it is "bacterial SSU rRNA". It matches the Rfam family "Bacterial small subunit ribosomal RNA", at positions 32 to 376 of the family's 1533-position model. The record is from RNAcentral.